CGGGGCGUAGCGCAGCCUGGUAGCGCACUUGGUUCGGGACCAAGGGGUCGGUGGUUCAAAUCCACUCGCCCCGACCA
RNAcentral lists this transfer RNA (77 nucleotides) under Acidobacteria bacterium 13_1_20CM_2_68_7. RNAcentral's name for it is "tRNA-Pro". It matches the Rfam family "tRNA". Rfam says of the family: Transfer RNA (tRNA) molecules are approximately 80 nucleotides in length. Their secondary structure includes four short double-helical elements and three loops (D, anti-codon, and T loops). Further hydrogen bonds mediate the characteristic L-shaped molecular structure. tRNAs have two regions of fundamental functional importance: the anti-codon, which is responsible for specific mRNA codon recognition, and the 3' end, to which the tRNAs corresponding amino acid is attached (by aminoacyl-tRNA synthetases). tRNAs cope with the degeneracy of the genetic code in two manners: having more than one tRNA (with a specific anti-codon) for a particular amino acid; and 'wobble' base-pairing, i.e. permitting non-standard base-pairing at the 3rd anti-codon position. Lineage: Bacteria; Pseudomonadati; Acidobacteriota. RNAcentral also lists the same sequence under 8 other names. The record is from RNAcentral.